UGAGUAAUGUCUGGGAAACUGCCCGAUGGAGGGGGAUAACUACUGGAAACGGUAGCCAAUACCGCAUAACGUCGCAAGACCAAAGUGGGGGACCUUCGGGCCUCAUGCCAUCAGAUGUGCCCAGAUGGGAUUAGCUAGUAGGUGAGGUAAUGGCUCACCUAGGCGACGAUCCCUAGCUGGUCUGAGAGGAUGACCAGCCACACUGGAACUGAGACACGGUCCAGACUCCUACGGGAGGCAGCAGUGGGGAAUAUUGCACAAUGGGCGCAAGCCUGAUGCAGCCAUGCCGCGUGUAUGAAGAAGGCCUUCGGGUUGUAAAGUACUUUCAGCGAGGAGGAAGGCAUUAAGGUUAAUAACCUUAGUGAUUGACGUUACUCGCAGAAGAAGCACCGGCUAACUCCGUGCCAGCAGCCGCGGUAAUACGGAGGGUGCAAGCGUUAAUCGGAAUUACUGGGCGUAAAGCGCACGCAGGCGGUCUGUCAAGUCGGAUGUGAAAUCCCCGGG
This 504-nucleotide ribosomal RNA is filed under the name uncultured bacterium. RNAcentral's name for it is "bacterial SSU rRNA". It matches the Rfam family "Bacterial small subunit ribosomal RNA", at positions 107 to 607 of the family's 1533-position model. The record is from RNAcentral.